Molecule: ribosomal RNA, 308 nt
Filed under: uncultured Enterobacteriaceae bacterium
Lineage: Bacteria; Pseudomonadati; Pseudomonadota; Gammaproteobacteria; Enterobacterales; Enterobacteriaceae
Description: bacterial SSU rRNA
Rfam family: Bacterial small subunit ribosomal RNA
Source: RNAcentral
UGGGAAAGUUGAUACAAUGGGCGCAAGCCUGAUGCAGCCAUGCCGCGUGUAUGAAGAAGGCCUUCGGGUUGUAAAGUACUUUCAGCGAGGAGGAAGGCAUUAAGGUUAAUAACCUUGGUGAUUGACGUUACUCGCAGAAGAAGCACCGGCUAACUCCGUGCCAGCAGCCGCGGUAAUACGGAGGGUGCAAGCGUUAAUCGGAAUUACUGGGCGUAAAGCGCACGCAGGCGGUCUGUCAAGUCGGAUGUGAAAUCCCCGGGCUCAACCUGGGAACUGCAUUCGAAACUGGCAGGCUAGAGUCUUGUAGA